GAUCAAAACAUGGCCACAUGGUUACACUAGUGAGAAAGAGACACCACCUACUUCUAUAUUUUUUUUUUAAUUCAAUUCAAGGGUGUGGGUAGUUAGGGUCUGGCGGCCGGAAGAUGUCGCGAUGUACGGAAAGGUGGAGCCCCUCCCUUGAUGGACAGUAGCGUGUGGCCUGUGAUGUAAGCAAGCGGAAGUGACGCUAUGGGCCUCGGGUAUAUAACCCCAUGUGACUCGACAAUAAAUGCCAUUUGCCAUCCACCACAUUGGUGUCUGUGAGCCGAUGGACCGAGCGGCCUGGGGUUGGUCGCCGUGCCGUUCCUGAACCAGGUCGCCGCUGCCCCCUGAAGGCAACACAAGGGUAAUCAUAAUAGCCAGCUCAGAAAUUAUUUCUCUGCAGUAAUCACUUUAUCACUAAUAUUUGAUAUACAGCAAUCCAUGCUCAAAGACUUUUAGACAAUUUUUGCUUGUCUCUGUACUCAGCAAAUACUUUUGUACUUGUGCUACUCUGUCUAGAAAGUUCAAUUUUAUCUGCCUCAUCAGAUGAGGAAAUCAAAAUCUGACCAGAGAAAAUCUCUUUCAAUUUACAAAUCAUUAUUAUCACUGUCCCAGAAAUGACCCUUUGAAUACAUCAGGCCAAAUUCUGCUCUUGGUUAUUCUGGUCUGAUCCAGAAGAAACUGCAGCAACUCCAGCAGAGCAGUCCUCAUUCCACAUGGACAUACCUGACUGCAGUGCAUAGCUCAUCUCACUGCCUCCAAUGUUUUGAUAAUCAAAGCUGAAAUGGCAGAAUUGCAUUGUUCAGUGAUUCACCACCUGCAGUUGUGGGUUUUGUUUUUCCUAAGUGGAAUGAGAAAAGCUUAAUGGAUUGAGACUUUGAACCAAAGCUUUCUGCUCAGAGGUUUUUGUCCUAUGAGGACACUGUGCUGUCACCAGUGUCUCUGGUCCCCUUUGUUCUCACUGUCGCGUUAAAGGGGUGUAGCUGAUUAACCGUCACAGGCCCGUUUGGAUUCAGAGUACUGAACCAGUCGGACAUUCACCAAAACUGGGGGUCCGUUCGGACAUUCACCAAAAACGUAAUAACCGCCUGGGGGUCCACUCAGACAUUCACCAAACAACAAACCUGAAUUACUCUUACCUAAGCUGGUAAGUUUUAGUAUAGUUAUAAUUUCAUGUAAUUCUUUCCUUUUCAUUUAGUGUAAAGAAAAGCAUAAGGAUUUUCAGAUUUAAUUGCUUCAAAAUCCUGAGUAACUCAGAAAUACCUUGAGAUUUGCUCUUCUUUCAGUAUUUUUCUCCUGUAAUUGCUCAGUAAGCA
RNAcentral lists this long non-coding RNA (1307 nucleotides) under Anas platyrhynchos platyrhynchos (common mallard). RNAcentral's name for it is "lncRNA (ENSAPLG00000025743.1)". The record is from RNAcentral. Lineage: Eukaryota; Metazoa; Chordata; Aves; Anseriformes; Anatidae.